GGGGAAUAUUGCACAAUGGGAGAAACCCCGACACAGCGCCACCGCGUGUAGGAAAAAGGCCGUGGGUCUGUAAACUUAUUUGACCAGGGACGAGGAGACUGAGGGUCACCAACGAGAAAGCCCCGGCCAACUACGUGCCAGCAGCCGCGGUAAAACGUAGGGGGCGAGCGUUGUCCGGAAUUACUGGGCGUAAAGGGCAUGCAGGCGGUGCGCCAAGUCGGGGGUGUAAAGUUACGGCUCAACCGUGAUCUUGCAAUCGAAACUGGCGCACUGGAGUGCGGGAGAGGGAAGUGGAAUUCCCGGUGUAGCGGUGAAAUGCGUAGAUAUCGGGAGGAACGCCAGUGGCGAAGGCGGCUUCCUGGCCCGCGACUGACGCUCAUGUGCGAAAGCCAGGGGAGCAAACC
Molecule: ribosomal RNA, 404 nt
Filed under: uncultured Acetomicrobium sp.
Lineage: Bacteria; Thermotogati; Synergistota; Synergistia; Synergistales; Acetomicrobiaceae
Description: bacterial SSU rRNA
Rfam family: Bacterial small subunit ribosomal RNA
Source: RNAcentral